GUAAACGGCGGCCGUAACUAUAACGGUCCUAAGGUAGCGAAAUUCCUUGUCGGGUAAGUUCCGACCUGCACGAAUGGCGUAAUGAUGGCCAGGCUGUCUCCACCCGAGACUCAGUGAAAUUGAACUCGCUGUGAAGAUGCAGUGUACCCGCGGCAAGACGGAAAGACCCCGUGAACCUUUACUAUAGCUUGACACUGAACAUUGAGCCUUGAUGUGUAGGAUAGGUGGGAGGCUUUGAAGUGUGGACGCCAGUCUGCAUGGAGCCGACCUUGAAAUACCACCCUUUAAUGUUUGAUGUUCUAACGUUGGCCCGUAAUCCGGGUUGCGGACAGUGUCUGGUGGGUAGUUUGACUGGGGCGGUCUCCUCCUAAAGAGUAACGGAGGAGCACGAAGGUUGGCUAAUCCUGGUCGGACAUCAGGAGGUUAGUGCAAUGGCAUAAGCCAGCUUGACUGCGAGCGUGACGGCGCGAGCAGGUGCGAAAGCAGGUCAUAGUGAUCCGGUGGUUCUGAAUGGAAGGGCCAUCGCUCAACGGAUAAAAGGUACUCCGGGGAUAACAGGCUGAUACCGCCCAAGAGUUCAUAUCGACGGCGGUGUUUGGCACCUCGAUGUCGGCUCAUCACAUCCUGGGGCUGAAGUAGGUCCCAAGGGUAUGGCUGUUCGCCAUUUAAAGUGGUACGCGAGCUGGGUUUAGAACGUCGUGAGACAGUUCGGUCCCUAUCUGCCGUGGGCGCUGGAGAACUGAGGGGGGCUGCUCCUAGUACGAGAGGACCGGAGUGGACGCAUCACUGGUGUUCGGGUUGUCAUGCCAAUGGCACUGCCCGGUAGCUAAAUGCGGAAGAGAUAAGUGCUGAAAGCAUCUAAGCACGAAACUUGCCCCGAGAUGAGUUCUCCCUGACUCCUUGAGGGUCCUGAAGGAACGUUGAAGACGACGACGUUGAUAGGCCGGGUGUGUAAGCGCAGCGAUGCGUUGAGCUAACCGGUACUAAUGAACCGUGAGGCUUAACCUU
RNAcentral lists this ribosomal RNA (1008 nucleotides) under human gut metagenome. Its description in RNAcentral is "bacterial LSU rRNA". It matches the Rfam family "Bacterial large subunit ribosomal RNA", at positions 1923 to 2925 of the family's 2925-position model. The record is from RNAcentral.